GUCUAUGGCCAUAUUACCCUGAACGCACCCCAUCUCAUCUGAUCUUGGAAGCUAAGCAGUGUCAGGCCUGAUUAGUACUUGGAUGGCAGACUGCCUAGGAAUACUGAGUGCUGUAGGCU
This 119-nucleotide ribosomal RNA is filed under the name Cervus hanglu yarkandensis (Yarkand deer). The record is from RNAcentral. Lineage: Eukaryota; Metazoa; Chordata; Mammalia; Artiodactyla; Cervidae.